This 77-nucleotide transfer RNA is filed under the name Thiohalobacter sp. COW1. Its description in RNAcentral is "tRNA-Phe". Lineage: Bacteria; Pseudomonadati; Pseudomonadota; Gammaproteobacteria; Thiohalobacterales; Thiohalobacteraceae. The record is from RNAcentral.
GGCCUCCUCGGCGGCGGUGAGCGGCGGCAGUCGGGUGAAGGCCGGCAGCGGCUGCGGUUCGCGGCCGCGGGCGGCCU